CACUUCAAUUGGUCUAAUUAUUCUUUUUCCUCUCUUAUUUCACAGGGAGACUCACUGCGCUGCUUGGGGAGCGAGACGUGAAGCUUCGGAAACUCACCGGGGAACUCGCAAAACGUGACGCAACCAUCCGGAUAUUUACGCUGGAGCUUGGGCAGCAGAACACAAAAAUCGG
RNAcentral lists this long non-coding RNA (172 nucleotides) under Columba livia (rock pigeon). Its description in RNAcentral is "partial uncharacterized LOC102089344". Lineage: Eukaryota; Metazoa; Chordata; Aves; Columbiformes; Columbidae. The record is from RNAcentral.